GGAGCAGGUAUCAGGCACGACCUGUCAGCCCAAAACACCUUGCUAUGCCACACCCACAUGGGUACUCAGCAGUAAUUAAUAUUAAGCAAUGAGUAAAAGCCGCAUUAAGCUCGACUUAGUUAUGAUCACUAGGGCCGGUUAACCUCGUGCCAGCCACCGCGGUUAUACGAAGGGCCCAAAACAGCAGACACCGGCGUAAAUUGUGACUAGAGAUACCACCUUAAACAAGAAGAAAUAAACCACACCCUAACCGUAAAACAUAGGCUAAGUGAAGCCCCCCACUCUUCUUACACAAGGUUGCUUGAACCCACGAAAACUAAGAAACAAACUAGGAUUAGACACCCUACUAUGCUUAGAUGUAAACAAGACACUACACAACUAAAGUGUCCGCCAGAGAAUUACAAGCGAAAAGCUUAAAACUCAAAGGACUUGGCGGUGCUCCGUACUCAACUUAGAGGAGCCUGUCCUAUAAUCGAUACUCCACGAUAAACCCCACCAUCUUUUGCCAACCCAGCCUAUAUACCGCCGUCGAAAACUUACCCCAUGAGGGAAAAAAAGUAAGUAAAAUAGUUAAUCACUAACACGUCAGGUCAAGGUGUAGCUUACAAGAUGGCAGAGAUGGGCUACAUUUUCUAACAAGAACAUACGGCAAUGGGCCAUGAAAUACCCCCACAAAGGCGGAUUUAACAGUAAGAUAAUUAAGAAAAA
This 708-nucleotide ribosomal RNA is filed under the name Phymaturus paihuanense. RNAcentral's name for it is "partial 12S ribosomal RNA". It matches the Rfam family "Bacterial small subunit ribosomal RNA", at positions 310 to 1357 of the family's 1533-position model. Lineage: Eukaryota; Metazoa; Chordata; Lepidosauria; Squamata. The record is from RNAcentral.